This 253-nucleotide ribosomal RNA is filed under the name uncultured bacterium. Its description in RNAcentral is "partial 16S ribosomal RNA". It matches the Rfam family "Bacterial small subunit ribosomal RNA", at positions 524 to 776 of the family's 1533-position model. The record is from RNAcentral.
UACAGAGGUCCCGAGCGUUGUUCGGAUUCACUGGGCGUAAAGGGUGCGUAGGUGGUGAGGUAAGUCGGAUGUGAAAUCUCCAAGCUCAACUUGGAAAUGGCAUUGGAAACUACCUCGCUGGAGGUUUGGAGGGGGGACUGGAAUUCUCGGUGUAGCAGUGAAAUGCGUAGAUAUGACAUAGAACACCCAUUGCGAAGGCAGCUCACUACGGGAUUAUUGACACUGAGGCACGAAAGCGUGGGGAUCAAACAGG